RNAcentral lists this ribosomal RNA (449 nucleotides) under uncultured bacterium. RNAcentral describes it as "bacterial SSU rRNA". It matches the Rfam family "Bacterial small subunit ribosomal RNA", at positions 335 to 796 of the family's 1533-position model. The record is from RNAcentral.
ACUCCUACGGGAGGCAGCAGUGGGGAAUAUUGCACAAUGGGGCGCAAGCCUGAUGCAGCAACGCCGCGUGAGCGAUGAAGGCCUUCGGGUCGUAAAGCUCUGUCUCAAGGAAGAAUAAAUGACGGUACUUGUAGGAGGAAGCCCCGGCUAACUACGUGCCAGCAGCCGCGGUAAUACGUAGGGGCAAGCGUUAUCCGGAAUCACUGGGCGUAAAGGGUGCGUAGGCGGUUUUUCAAGUCAGAAGUGAAAGGCUAUGGCUCAACCAUAGUAAGCUUUUGGAAACUGUUAAACUUGAGUGCAGGAGAGGAAAGUGGAAUUCCUAGUGUUAGAGGUGGAAAUUCGUAGAUAUUAGGAGGAACACCAGUGGCGAAGGCGACUUUCUGGACUGUAACUGACGCUGACGGCACGAAAGCGUGGGGAGCGAACAGGAUUAGAUACCCUGGUAGCAC